Molecule: long non-coding RNA, 3083 nt
Organism: Zophobas morio
Lineage: Eukaryota; Metazoa; Arthropoda; Insecta; Coleoptera; Tenebrionidae
Exons: 3
Source: RefSeq, a predicted model, not a curated record
CCGACUGGCGCGGCACCGGCGCAGGCGGCGGCCGCGGACCAAAUGAACUGCCAAGGACUGACUGAGAGGAGCACAUGUCUGGUGGCGGACAGCGGCGGCGGCUGCGCCUGCCCCACUCGCUCCGUCUCGCUCCCACCUAUUCAAUCGGACGAGACGGAAGGCGGCAGUGCGUCGCACUCCACCACGCCCGUAGGUAGCAGACCUUAGCAACCGUUGCCAUCUCAACCGAAUGUCUUUUCGCGGAACGGGUGGGGGAAGUGUCUAGAAAUUAUCAAACAUACGCUGUACCCUUUCGUCAAUCGUAAAUAAUAAUAACAAUAAUAAUAAAACUCGAAACGGCGAGGACGGCGAGACGGUCAAUAAAACCGAAAAAAAACGACACUCGUCGCCGAUCGAAAAACUAUCGUCGAUAAACACAAUUGCAGUGCGACUAAUUUACUGCUCGGCAUUGAGGAAGCGCCAAUCAAAACUAUACUUAGGGUACGGUAGACUUAGAAAGAAUGUUUACACAAGCAUAAAGAAGACAGGAAAACAAGUACAACCGAGAAUAAUGAAAGCAUAUGUUGAAUAAUGAUCGUUUGAAGUCCAUUUAGUUACACUUAAGGGUCAGACACAGUUCAGCAGUUUCAGCACUGCAGAGGCAGGAAACCUGGAAUUACGUAAUUUUAUUUACCUAAAAUAAGAACGGAAAGUGCCUUUUUCCUGAAUGAACCUGCAGAUUUCAGGAUGACGUGGAAGAUUCUAUUGCAUAUUAGGCGCUCAGACUAUUUAAAGUAAAAAUUUUUGCUUCGUUUAUUUAUUAAAUGUAUAAAUAUAAAAGUUACGUUAACUACUGGAAACUUUUGUCUUAACAAAACAAACAAAGCAAAAUUGGAAAUUACUCAUGAUAAAUAAUACAAAAAAUACACUUCAUUAAAGAAGGGGCAAAGGUGAAGAACACAGUGAAAUCUUUCACACAAAGGGGCGGGUAUUCAGUGCUGAAAUUGACAUUGAUAGUUCACGAAAACGUUGAUAAUAUUAUGUUCCUCAAAGAAUCUCUUGUUUGUUAAAUAAAUGGAUGCGGCACAAACCCAAACACUCAGGCCGGCGUCUGAUGAUUACUUGUUGAUGAAGGUUGCAUUAAUAGCCAGUCUUGCCGGGGGAUGUAGAAGAGAUGAUUUGGCCAAACUACAAGAUUCUUGUUACCUUGUUAGCAUCCCAGAUUUGAAAACGUACAGUGAGCGAGCUUUCGUAGCUGUUGAUGAAGAAAAUGUAAAUUUGAGCGUUUCCUGGAAUAAAUCUCCUUGCGUGCUAAUAACGACUCGCAUAAAGAUGGUCCAUAUAUUUUAAAAAAGAAAAGAAAAACUACCAUCCCACACGUUGGUGUUCUUCGUCCACAGUUUUGGACCGAUUCCAUUCAUACUUGCGUGCUUUGAAUUACUGAGUUCACAGGAAUAUCAAUAUUUUGUGUUUUCAGCCGACAGUUUUCUUAUUAUUUUGUUACGAAUUACGACAAAAAUACAAUAUAACAGAACAGGAUCUUUAUUUGGAAUCGAUCAUGUUCACACUUAUAGUGGAGAGGAUAUUACUAAACUGAAAAGAACUACUACGUUGGAAGAUAAAAAUAAGCACCGCCGAUAUAACAAAAAAAAAUCAUCAGUAACAUUCUUGCAUAGCUGGUACAUCAUGUUCUGUCGACUUAAUGGUACAAAUUGUAUAAUAAAUGCAGAUGUCAAUAAUUAGAUAAAGCUAAUGUCGCAACAAAUUAAUUUAAAUAGUCAAUUUAUAUUGGUGGGCUAGUCUGGGAAAAAUCCAUUUCCUGCAAAUAGCUCGAUUAGUUUGUUAUUAUCUCACGCCUCAUCUGAAUAAACUUGUGAUUUGUUUUUGCAUUGUAAAUUUCAAAAUUAUAUGUUAUCCCAUUAAAAAACUGAUGACGUAAUCUCAAUAAAAUUUAGAUAAAUGUAGAUUGGAGGAAACUGUGAUGCACAAUGGAUAGGUUGUGCGGUCAGAAGUUAGGAAAUUAAAUAAAUUAUUAUUAUAUAAAAUGCCUAUGAUAUUAUAAAUACAAAAAUGGUGUUCCUUGUUUUUUAAGUAUUACAAAAUAAAAAUUCGUUUCACAAAAAAAUACAAGUAUUCAGUAAUGUCAGGACAAAUCGUAGUCCGAUGAAGUUAAGCAGUUAUUGAAAACUGAAGAAUGAAUUAAAACUGAGUUUUUUCCAAAAUAUAAUAGCUCAAUGAUCCCUCUCCAUCUAUUUUUGGGCCCACGUUCAUCAACCCACCACAUCGCCUCCCCAACAAUCGCCGUUCUCUGAAACCACGAACUGCAAAGUAAAUAUUUAUCCAACAUUAAUGAUUAUUUUCAACAUAAAAAUCAUGUGAACGUAGUGACACGAAAAUCCUACACGCGCAUUCUCUGGCGAACAAUCGGCGUGAAAAUAGAGCAGUUUCUUGGCAAAUUUUUCUAACGUUCGCACACCUACCCACAACUCUUAUCUCCCUAUGACCUCGAAAUUUGCAUGAUGCAUACGAUUUAACCUCGCUCACAAAAUUCUAUGAUUCAUUCAUAGUUACGAAAAUCGCGCACAGAUUGAUCUAGAACUUUUGUCGUUUCACGUUGGCAAACCUGUCACAUAUAACUUAGCUCGUUCGGUUGCGCAGCGAGCGUAAAAAUUUCGCAACACUAAAUACGGUACCGAGAUUAGUGUAAUGACUUGUUAUAGUCUUGGAAACAAAGAAACACAUUAGAAAUUUCAACUGAUAAAUCACAAAUCCAGUUGGUAUUUUUAUUGCAGCUGGUCGACUUGCGGAGUGGGCGUAAUAUCUUUAGGAAUGCGCUAUAGAUAUGCAAGAUGCAAUAAAUUGCAAUAAAAACUUGCCGCAAUGAAUCAUUCAGCGUCUUUGUUUGUCCAAACUGCAUUUUUGUCUAGACUAUGGGGGCGUUUUUUAACAUUUACUGUCAAGUAAAUAACAAAACCAUAAAAAUAAACUAGCACUCCGACGAUUUACCGGGAAUAUAGUUUUUUUAUGAUCAGCCUGAAAGGUUGGCACCCCCGACAAUCGACCGUUCUUCACAGACGCACAGGUUAUUUACACGUGCUCUUUAU